This 254-nucleotide ribosomal RNA is filed under the name uncultured bacterium. Its description in RNAcentral is "partial 16S ribosomal RNA". It matches the Rfam family "Bacterial small subunit ribosomal RNA", at positions 524 to 776 of the family's 1533-position model. The record is from RNAcentral.
UACAUAGGGAGCAAGCGUUGUCCGGAAUCAUUGGGCGUAAAAGAGCUCGUAGGCGGUUUGUCGCGUCGGCUGUGAAAACUCGGGGCUCAACCCCGAGCCUGCAGUCGAUACGGGCAAACUAGAGUGUGGUAGGGGAGACUGGAAUUCCUGGUGUAGCGGUGAAAUGCGCAGAUAUCAGGAGGAACACCGGCGGCGAAGGCGGCUCUCUGGACCGAGACUGACGCUGAGGCGCGAAAGCUAGGGGAGCAAACAGG